This is a long non-coding RNA of Homo sapiens (human), 764 nucleotides long. Lineage: Eukaryota; Metazoa; Chordata; Mammalia; Primates; Hominidae. The record is from Ensembl.
UGGCAGCAGAGUUGGAAUGGGAUAGGUAGUUCCCCGUUUCCAGGACCCCAGACGGCCUGCUGGGACAGUGUAUAUGAGUCCGGAAUGGGCUGGACCAGGGUCAGGCUAGCCCAGACUUCAGGUACGGGCUGUGAUGACGAGGAGUGGGCUAGUCUCCCGGGUCGGUCACCGCUGAACUCUCAGACAAUCAAGCUUUCGAUGAUCAUGUGAUGAGGUUUCCAGUCAGUUCCAGGUGAAGACACCACUGGCCAUCAAGAAGCUACCCUCUCCCCACCAGACAGAGCAGGAUGAGAGUUCUAUAAUCCUCAAUAGGAGGAAGCACUCAAUUGAACAAGUGCAGGAACCAGCUGGCUGCCUCAGCACUGACAGAAGCAAAUUCCAUUUGCUUGGACCCACUGCAUUCCAUCCCUUGUGGAAGAGAGCAUGUAAGCAAGUGAGUGCAGGAACUGGCUGGCUGCUUUGGUGCUGGCAGGAGCAAACACCAUGAAGGCCCCAUGGCAGAGUCCAGGACAGGACCUUCAGGCCUCUGAAAAAAAAAGGAUCAAAGAACUGAAACUCACCAGAUCACCUCACCAGAUGCUGGACCCCUCAUUCACCAUGUUUGCUUCCUUGCCUCUCCCUAGUUCUUAUUUUCUUACACAUUGUUACAUUUCUUCCCUGCUAUAUCAACCCCUAGUUCUAGUCAGUCAUGGAGAUGGAUUUGAGACUGAUCUCCCAUCCCCUCAGCUACACCACCUGAUUAAAGCCUUCUUCCUUGGCAAUAA